UUUCCUUUCUUUUCGAAAACUCUCAUUCCUCUUCUUCUUCUUCUUCUACCCGUGACACACACACACUCACACACACCCAUUGUUGCACCUGCUUGAGGACAUAGCCACCAUCAUCAUCAUCAUCAAACCUUAGCUCUCUCUCUCUCUCUCUCUCUCCCUUGCUCACGGCGCCAAGAGGGUACGAGCACCUCCGGCGAAUUUAGCUUGUUUUCCGGUUGGGUUUUGGAGUGCUUUGGCACGGGUGAAGGCACCCAAAUUUUCCGGCGAGUGUGUGUGGUUUCCGAGGGAUUUUCCGGCCACCACAAGCCGUUACACGGCUAACCCAAGGGGCAAUUAUCGAUGGCGUUUCCUUCUUCGCUAGAUGACGUGGCUUUUCGACGGCGAAGUAC
Molecule: long non-coding RNA, 389 nt
Organism: Pyrus x bretschneideri (Chinese white pear)
Lineage: Eukaryota; Viridiplantae; Streptophyta; Magnoliopsida; Rosales; Rosaceae
Exons: 3
Source: RefSeq, a predicted model, not a curated record